Molecule: ribosomal RNA, 376 nt
Filed under: uncultured organism
Description: partial 16S ribosomal RNA
Rfam family: Bacterial small subunit ribosomal RNA
Source: RNAcentral
GAACCGUACGAACGUUAUUCGGGAAUCACUGGGGCUUAAAGGGUGCGUAGGCGGCCUGGUAAGUUGGGUGUGAAAGCCCUCGGCUCAACCGAGGGAAUUGCGCCCAAUACUGUCAGGCUUGAGGGAGAUAGAGGUGAGCGGAACUGAUGGUGGAGCGGUGAAAUGCGUUGAUAUUAUCAGGAACACCGGUUGCGAAGGCGGCUCACUGGGUCUCUUCUGACGCUGAGGCACGAAAGCUAGGGUAGCGAACGGGAUUAGAUACCCCGGUAGUCCUAGCUGUAAACGAUGAGCACUAGGUCGGAGGCCCUUCCACAGGCUUCCGGUCGUAGCGAAAGUGUUAAGUGCUCCGCCUGGGGAGUAUGGUCGCAAAGGCUGA